GAGGGUAUAGCUCAGUGGUACAGUAUGUGCUUAGCAUGCAUGACGUCUUGGGUUCAAUCCCUAGUACUUCUA
Molecule: transfer RNA, 72 nt
Filed under: Camelus bactrianus (Bactrian camel)
Lineage: Eukaryota; Metazoa; Chordata; Mammalia; Artiodactyla; Camelidae
Also listed under: 1 other name
Rfam family: tRNA
About the family: Transfer RNA (tRNA) molecules are approximately 80 nucleotides in length. Their secondary structure includes four short double-helical elements and three loops (D, anti-codon, and T loops). Further hydrogen bonds mediate the characteristic L-shaped molecular structure. tRNAs have two regions of fundamental functional importance: the anti-codon, which is responsible for specific mRNA codon recognition, and the 3' end, to which the tRNAs corresponding amino acid is attached (by aminoacyl-tRNA synthetases). tRNAs cope with the degeneracy of the genetic code in two manners: having more than one tRNA (with a specific anti-codon) for a particular amino acid; and 'wobble' base-pairing, i.e. permitting non-standard base-pairing at the 3rd anti-codon position.
Source: Rfam by way of RNAcentral